Molecule: ribosomal RNA, 292 nt
Filed under: uncultured bacterium
Lineage: Bacteria
Description: partial 16S ribosomal RNA
Rfam family: Bacterial small subunit ribosomal RNA
Source: RNAcentral
GUGCCAGCAGCCGCGGUAAUACGUAGGGGGCAAGCGUUGUCCGGAUUUAUUGGGCGUAAAGCGCGUGUAGGCGGUCAGGCAGGUCUGACGUGAAAUCUCGAGGCUCAACCUCGAUCGGUCGUUGGAAACCACCUGGCUAGAGUCCGGAAGAGGAGAGUGGAAUUCCUGGUGUAGCGGUGAAAUGCGCAGAUAUCAGGAAGAACACCGAUGGCGAAGGCAGCUCUCUGGGACGGUACUGACGCUGAGACGCGAAAGCGUGGGGAGCGAACAGGAUUAGAUACCCCGGUAGUCC